UACUGCAGCAGAAGUGUCUUCUAGACACACUUACAAUGUCUGAUCUUGGAAGCUAAGCAGGGUUGGACCUGGUUAGUAUUUGGAUGGAAGACCACCUAGGAAGACCAGGUGCUGUAGGCG
This 120-nucleotide ribosomal RNA is filed under the name Pteropus alecto (black flying fox). The record is from RNAcentral. Lineage: Eukaryota; Metazoa; Chordata; Mammalia; Chiroptera; Pteropodidae.